AAUUCGAGGCAACGCGAAGAACCUUACCAGGUCUUGACAUCCCCUGACAACCCAAGGAGGAUUUGGGGCCGUUCCCCCGUUCGGGGGGACAGGGUGACAGGUGGUGCAUGGUUGUCGUCAGCUCGUGUCGUGAGAUGUUGGGUUAAGUCCCGCAACGAGCGCAACCCUCGCCUCUAGUUGCCAGCAUUCGGUUGGGCACUCUAGAGGGACUGCCGGCGACAAGUCGGAGGAAGUGGGAUGACGUCAAAUCAUCAUGCCCCUUAUGACCUGGGCUACACACGUGCUACAAUGGGCGGUACAAAGGGCUGCGAACCCGCGAGGGGGAGCGAAUCCCAAAAAGCCGCUCUCAGUUCGGAUUGCAGGCUGCAACUCGCCUGCAUGAAGCCGGAAUCGCUAGUAAUCGCGGAUCAGCAUGCCGCGGUGAAUACGUUCCCGGGCCUU
This 441-nucleotide ribosomal RNA is filed under the name uncultured Geobacillus sp. RNAcentral's name for it is "bacterial SSU rRNA". It matches the Rfam family "Bacterial small subunit ribosomal RNA", at positions 948 to 1382 of the family's 1533-position model. Lineage: Bacteria; Bacillati; Bacillota; Bacilli; Caryophanales; Anoxybacillaceae. The record is from RNAcentral.